GCCUAAAGCGUCCGUAGCCGGUUUGGUAAAUGCUUUGUGAAAUCGGCCUGCUCAACAGGUCGACGUGCAGAACAGACUGCCAAACUUGAAACCGGGAGAGGUCAGAGGUAUUCCAGGGGGAGCGGUAAAAUGUUAUAAUCCCUGGAGGACCACCGAUGGCGAAGGCAUCUGACCAGAACGGAUUUGACGGUGAGGGACUAAAGCCAGGGGAGCGAUCCGGAUUAGAUACCCGAGUAGUCCUGGCCCUAAACGCUGCGAGCAAGGUGUUGCGUAAUCUCCGAGAUUACGCAGUGUCGAAACGAAGGUGUUAAGCUCGCCACCUGGGAAGUACGGUCGCAAGGCUGAAACUUAAAGGAAUUGGCGGGGGAGCACUACAAGGGGUGAAGCCUGCGGUUCAAUUGGAGUCAACGCCAGAAAUCUUACCCGGAGAGACAGCAGGAUGAAGGUCAAGCUGAAGACUUUACCAGACAAGCUGAGAAGUGGUGCAUGGCCGUCGCCAGCUCGUGCCGUGAGGUGUCCUGUUAAGUCAGGUAACGAGCGAGAUCCUUGCCUCUAGUUGCCACCAUUACUCUCAGGAGUAGUGGGGCGAAUUAGCGGAACUGCCGUAGUUAAUACGGAGGAAGGAGAGGGCCACGGCAGGUCAGUAUGCCCCGAA
Molecule: ribosomal RNA, 655 nt
Filed under: uncultured archaeon
Lineage: Archaea
Description: bacterial SSU rRNA
Rfam family: Archaeal small subunit ribosomal RNA
Source: RNAcentral